Molecule: long non-coding RNA, 2330 nt
Organism: Scophthalmus maximus (turbot)
Lineage: Eukaryota; Metazoa; Chordata; Actinopteri; Pleuronectiformes; Scophthalmidae
Exons: 2
Source: RefSeq, a predicted model, not a curated record
ACAGAUGUUAUAAUGCCAACCACAGCAGUAGCGUGUAGCGACUCAAGCUCUCUCCGUGGAGACUCUGUGUGACUGUAUGUUUGCAGAAUACAACCAGGAACUGCAGUUGGCCAAUUUGCAUGUGUGACAUUUCGUUUAACUGAUGUAUUUAUAUGCGCCCAGAGAGAAAAUCUAUGUUGGCUCCGAAGUCCUUCACUAUUUGCCGUAAUGUCAGUAUGCAGCACCAGAAGAGAUUAAACCGGUGGGCAACAGGGUUUUAAAGAAGAGACUUUUUUUUUACAAUCAGUGGUAGAAAGUAAAUUUUUUUUAUAGUAUUAAUAUAUUUAACUUGUAUAUUUUUCAAUUUAUGCUACUUUCUUCUUUGCUGCUUUACUUCUGCUCCGCCACAUAUCAGAGGGAAAUAUUGUACUUCUUAUUUCCAGGCCUCCACAACAUUAUCUGGUUAAUGUUACUUUGAUUUUAUACGUAGAAAAUAUCCUUUACAACUUAGCAAACGUGGUCGAAUGGCUCCAAAAAGUCAUUCUGCGUCACAACAGUGACCCCAAACAUAUGGAUCUAAAAUUCCUAUCCAGCGACAAGAAGGAGAAUGAGGAGCUGAUCUGAACAACACGGAGACAGUCCAGGGUCACAAGAAGAGACAAGAAGAGACAUGAAGAGACAGGAAGAGACAAGAAGAGACAAGAAGAGACAACCAACACUGCGACAAGUUCUCGAAGAAGCUUGGAACAACCUACCUGCCAAAAUAUGAUAAAAAGAAUAUUUGUGACAUUACUUUCAGAAGCUGAAAGUGUUGCGAGGAACUGUAGAUUAGAAGCCCGGUUUUUUCCUCAGGUCUAUGUUGCACUCCAUGGAGGGGGUCAAGUCGUGGAAGUGGUGUGUUUGCCAUUUUGUAAUGUUGUCAAGGUAUGGUAAUAAUUAUACUAUAUGCAAUGUGGGGGUGUGUAUGAUGAUGUGCAUGGGGUCACUAAUGGAGGUCACCUGUAGCUACUAUCAUGAAUUUCAAGGAAGGAAUAAAGGUCUGUUGCCCAGUUUUUACCCACGAGUGAAAGACUGCAUAGCAACAUGUGCAUGUUCAACAGCUCAGCUGACGUCCUCCUCUACAACUGCCUAACUGAUCACAGAGGUCUGAGGCCCCAAGCAGCCAAAUGAGCAGAUCAAUAUCAUGCACUUAAUGUGACGGUCAAAGAAGGUUAUCACAAGAAUAGGUCUGCUGACACUGUCUGCAUUGUAGUGGUGGAGCUGAGGCACAAGCCAAAUGCCCAUACACAUCCAAAUUGUGUGGUUAUCAACAUGAGUCAAACCGUUUUGAGCACAGGCACUGACGGUGCGUCAUCUUUAGACGAAGACAAAAAUGGAGAAGAUGCCACUGGAAAUCAGCGCCUUUCAAGACUUUUUAAUUUAUGGGCUUCACCAUAAGGAGAAGGACGAGUACAAAGGGAGGGGAACAAUAGUGCCACUGUUCAUACACAAAUAAUGGACAAAGGCUGGCAGCUUGUACAUGAAAGCCUGAAGUCUGUGCUGAUGUGUGCAUGUUCAGUCAGUGCUGUGGUGCCAUCUAGUGGUCAUAAAGAAAACGUUCGGUUGUGUGCACAUGCUUGGCACACACUUAUUUGCCAUUUUCUAACAUGGAGGAAAAAUUUGGAAAAUGCCCUAUAUACACUUGACACAUGAGUUAAAGCAACAACCAAAUCAAAUAUAAUACGAAUUCAAUAAAUAAUGGCUCUGUGAGGCUGCACGUACACACAAGCAGCGGUUUUGAGCUUAAUGCUUAUGGGUUUAUUAAAAGAUAUGAAGGCCUGUGUAUUUUGUAUGUAUGUGCUAUCUCAUCAAAACCAGCCUGGCUCACGAUGACAAUGCUAAUAUGCUAAUAUUAAGCAAUGAUGUUUUCCAUGUUUACUAUCAGUACUCAGUUUUGAAUAUCUAGCAUGCUGACAUUCGCCGGCUCACAUUAAAUUAGGACCAUUUAUUUUAUGAGGAAUAUAUUAAAUAUGAUGCUGUGCUUUACUUUCAAAGUAACAGGUUGUGUACUGAGCUACCUCAAAUAUGACCAACUACAAUAUUAAAGGGGCAACAAGAGAUUCUAAAGCAUUACACGUUUUGUAAAAAUCAGCAAAUAUUUCCUCACUGUCCGUCAGCUGUCGGUUCUGUGUGUGCGCAGAAAACAAAUCUGGGUUUUCGGCUCAGCCCCCGCUCUGUAAAUCGCAAACAAAAAAAUUAUACUUUUCUUUUUGCCUUUGUUCAGGUAACAUGUCGAACGCAGGACUUGUAAUAGAGAUUUGUGUUUGGUGUUGUGACAAUAAAACCAAUAAAUCAUGUAGCUUCGAUUCCAA